RNAcentral lists this long non-coding RNA (447 nucleotides) under Brassica rapa (field mustard). Its description in RNAcentral is "long non-coding RNA (BRAP_LNC006183)". Lineage: Eukaryota; Viridiplantae; Streptophyta; Magnoliopsida; Brassicales; Brassicaceae. The record is from RNAcentral.
CUCCAUCCUCAUAACCAUACGGAUACGAAUCCCCGAAAAGGUAGUCUGAAGUCGUCUUCCACGGAUCAGAAUCCGCGCUAUCCCAGCAGGUAACUUCAGCCGCACGGUUCUCAUCCUCUAGGCGUCUUUUGUUACGUAAGAAACAAGGAAAGUAGCCUCCGAAUAUAACCUCGCAGAGAUCAGUGGCUUCUAAGCCGUAACCAGACGGAACAUACAGAGCUUUCACUUCAACUUUAUCUACUGUUUCAGGUUGCACGGUCCCAUUGCUUAAACUGUGAUCUUCUUCUUCCUCUGCCUCUUCUUGAUGAUCAUUUUCUUCUUCUUUAAUGGUUUCUAAUGGUUUGGCUUCCUCUAACGGCUCAGAGAAAGUCACACGUUUCUUAACAGCUUUCUUUUCACCACCAUCAUAUAUUCCAAGAGGAACCGGAGCGAUGAUCUCCGGAGGAG